AGAGUUUGAUCCUGGCUCAGAUUGAACGCUGGCGGCAUGCCUUACACAUGCAAGUCGAGCGGCAGCGCGGGGGCAACCCUGGCGGCGAGCGGCGCACGGGUGAGUAAUGCAUCGGAACGUGUCCUCUUGUGGGGGAUAACCAGUCGAAAGACUGGCUAAUACCGCAUGAGCACGAGAGUGGAAAGCGGGGGACCGCAAGGCCUCGCGCGAGAGGAGCGGCCGAUGCCGGAUUAGCUAGUUGGUGGGGUAAUGGCCUACCAAGGCGACGAUCCGUAGCUGGUUUGAGAGAACGACCAGCCACACUGGGACUGAGACACGGCCCAGACUCCUACGGGAGGCAGCAGUGGGGAAUUUUGGACAAUGGGGGCAACCCUGAUCCAGCCAUGCCGCGUGUGUGAAGAAGGCCCUCGGGUUGUAAAGCACUUUCGGCCGGAACGAAAUCGCGCGAUCUAACAAGUCGCGUGGAUGACGGUACCGGAAGAAGAAGCACCGGCUAACUACGUGCCAGCAGCCGCGGUAAUACGUAGGGUGCGAGCGUUAAUCGGAAUUACUGGGCGUAAAGUGUGCGCAGGCGGCCGAGCAAGUCGAGUGUGAAAGCCCCGAGCUUAACUUGGGAAUUGCGCUCGAAACUACUUGGCUGGAGUGUGGCAGAGGGAGGUGGAAUUCCACGUAGCGGUGAAAUGCGUAGAGAUGUGGAGGAACACCAAUGGCGAAGGCAGCCUCCUGGGCCAACACUGACGCUCAUGCACGAAAGCGUGGGGAGCAAACAGGAUUAGAUACCCCCGUAGUCC
This 791-nucleotide ribosomal RNA is filed under the name uncultured bacterium. Its description in RNAcentral is "bacterial SSU rRNA". It matches the Rfam family "Bacterial small subunit ribosomal RNA", at positions 8 to 796 of the family's 1533-position model. The record is from RNAcentral.